GGUCAAAGUUUACAACAGGGACAUUUGUUGGAGACGGACGUACUUUAAAACUGUGCACGAGUUUACAACUGCAUCAUCUCGUUCUCCACGACUAGUUUGAGUUUGUUUUUUGUUUUUUUACACUACUGACCAGACCAACCAGACAUCCCGCAAAAUGGCUGCAUGGGCGCUGCAACAGAACAUCGGCAUUUUCGUGUCCACGCAGAACGAAACGAGAGCGACUGUGUGCGUUUUCACGCGGCAACACUACGUCCUGCAGUCAGAAUAACAGGGGGAAAAAAGACUGAAAAAUUCCAGGUUCGCAGGCAGUGUAAAAGCGGUUGUUGUGGACACUCUGUCUCCUUUUCCACUGAGCAAAGAUGGCGCUAGAUAACAAAAGCUUCACAUCGGGCUUG
Molecule: long non-coding RNA, 395 nt
Organism: Syngnathoides biaculeatus (alligator pipefish)
Lineage: Eukaryota; Metazoa; Chordata; Actinopteri; Syngnathiformes; Syngnathidae
Exons: 3
Source: RefSeq, a predicted model, not a curated record